AGCCUGAAUGCCAGAGCAGCAUUGGAACCCCGUAUCAAAAGCGUCAAAUCAACCAGAAUGCUGUGAAAAUAUAAUGUACAGCUGGAAUAGAAAGUAAGUUAAGAGGAAAGCACAAAAACGUGAUGUUUCUAGAAUUAUUUCACACAGUGAUUCCAUUUUUCCCCUUCAACAAGAAGUCCAGCAUACCUACUAAAUCACAUGGAAACAGCCAGAAUCAGCACUUACCACUAGUGCCUGUAUUUAGCCAAGAAGCCUUAGUGGUGUCUUCCACAAGUUUAAAAUGGCCAUAGGAGCAACCAUUAUUCUAUCACUGUGACAGCCAGUCUGGCUAACAUCUCUCAACCAGCAGGAUGCUUACUUUUUGUCAC
This is a long non-coding RNA of Alligator sinensis (Chinese alligator), 368 nucleotides long. RefSeq lists it as uncharacterized. The transcript has 3 exons. NCBI's taxonomy places the organism in Eukaryota, Metazoa, Chordata, Crocodylia, Alligatoridae. The record is from RefSeq and is a predicted model, not a curated record.